UCUGGCGGCGAGUGGCGAACGGGUGAGUAAUGUAUCGGAACGUGCCUAGUAGCGGGGGAUAACUACUCGAAAGAGUAGCUAAUACCGCAUACGCCCUACGGGGGAAAGGGGGGGAUCGCAAGACCUCUCACUAUUAGAGCGGCCGAUAUCGGAUUAGCUAGUUGGUGAGGUAAAGGCUCACCAAGGCGACGAUCCGUAGCUGGUUUGAGAGGACGACCAGCCACACUGGGACUGAGACACGGCCCAGACUCCUACGGGAGGCAGCAGUGGGGAAUUUUGGACAAUGGGGGAAACCCUGAUCCAGCCAUUCCGCGUGUGCGAUGAAGGCCUUCGGGUUGUAAAGCACUUUUGGCAGGAAAGAAAUCGCACAAAUUAAUACUUUGUGUGGAUGACGGUACCUGCAGAAUAUGCACCGGCUAACUACGUGCCAGCAGCCGCGGUAAUACGUAGGGUGCAAGCGUUAAUCGGAAUUACUGGGCGUAAAGCGUGCGCAGGCGGUUCGGAAAGAGAGGUGUGAAAUCCCAGGGCUCAACCUUGGAACUGCACUUUUAACUACCGGACUAGAGUAUGUCAGAGGGGGGUGGAAUUCCGCGUGUAGCAGUGAAAUGCGUAGAUAUGCGGAGGAACACCGAUGGCGAAGGCAGCCCCCUGGGAUAAUACUGACGCUCAUGCACGAAAGCGUGGGGAGCAAACAGGAUUA
Molecule: ribosomal RNA, 700 nt
Filed under: uncultured beta proteobacterium
Lineage: Bacteria; Pseudomonadati; Pseudomonadota; Betaproteobacteria
Description: bacterial SSU rRNA
Rfam family: Bacterial small subunit ribosomal RNA
Source: RNAcentral